RNA transcript from Stomoxys calcitrans (stable fly), 1120 nucleotides. RefSeq lists it as uncharacterized. NCBI's taxonomy places the organism in Eukaryota, Metazoa, Arthropoda, Insecta, Diptera, Muscidae. The record is from RefSeq and is a predicted model, not a curated record. The transcript has 4 exons.
GUCGGUAGGACGCCGAAAAUCCUAUGCGGUGAUCAAAAUCGUGAGAGGACGAGCCUAUUACUGAAAGGAAGGAAGGAGGUCAGUAUAGCUUUUGGUGUCAUAACUACGAGCUAAUUUAUGCAAAAUGGGUACGCUAACGGACACCGGCGUCGACGUCGAGUGUGAACAUCUUUACGGACAGAAAAAUUACCAUAAGGGCAAUAACAACCAGGAGGGUAAGGUCACACUCUUGCAGUGUAAGAAGGAUAUUAACGCCGGGCCAUAACGGAAUAAGGAGGAAUGAAAGGGCAACAGAUUUGGCAGUGAAGACCAGAGAACCGCUGUCUAUAGUCUUGGUUAACCCGAAGCUUUUCGGGUCGACGCAGACCGAUUUAAUGGCGUGGGCGACAAACACUGUGGAGCAGCAAAGAGUCGGUAGAACGGCGAAAAUCCUAUGCGGUGAUCAAGAUCGUGAGAGGACGAGCCUAUUACUGAAAGGAAGGAAGGAGGUCAGUAAAGCUUUUGGUGUCAUAAGUACGAGCUAAUUUAUGCAAAAUCGGUACGCUAACGGACACCGGUGUCGACGUCGAGUGUGAACAUCUUUACGGACAGAAAAAUUACCAUAAGGGCAAUAACAACCAGGAGGGGAGUGGUAUGGAAAACAAUUAAAGAUUUUCCUGCACUGGAUACUUACCUACAAGUUCGUUGUGCUGGAUGUCACUAAAAUAACACAAAUCCCUAUCACCAGACCUACCUUCCUCAAUCCUAUGGCAGCCAGUUGUACGUACCGGAUUGACACGGUGGAGUCCUUCAUCGGCAAGGCUGCCGCCUCACUGCUACAAAAACCUGACCUUCCUAGAUCAGAUCAAUCCAAUGGCAGCCGGUUGUACCUACCGGAUUGGUCAGAUGUAGUCUAUCAUCGGCAAGGGCUGGCGCCUCAGUGUACAACACACUGCUACAACAACAAUCAGACCUUCCUGGAUCUGGAUACUCAACAGAAUCAAGCAAACGAAUGAUAGAACUCAACGCACUGCUGCAACAACCAGACCUCAAAAAAUGUAUUGUACAAACACACCCUAUAAUUACUUCGAGUAAAUGAGCGCGCCAACUCAAGUUUUAAUAAAAGUUAAAUACUAAAGUA